GUGGGGAAUAUUGGACAAUGGGCGCAAGCCUGAUCCAGCCAUGCCGCGUGAGUGAUGAAGGCCUUAGGGUUGUAAAGCUCUUUCGUCAGGGAAGAUAAUGACGGUACCUGAAGAAGAAGCCCCGGCUAACUUCGUGCCAGCAGCCGCGGUAAUACGGAGGGGGCUAGCGUUGUUCGGAAUUACUGGGCGUAAAGCGCACGUAGGCGGACUGGAAAGUCAGGGGUGAAAUCCCGGGGCUCAACCCCGGAACUGCCUUUGAAACUCCCAGUCUUGAGUUCGAGAGAGGUGAGUGGAAUUCCGAGUGUAGAGGUGAAAUUCGUAGAUAUUCGGAGGAACACCAGUGGCGAAGGCGGCUCACUGGCUCGAUACUGACGCUGAGGUGCGAAAGCGUGGGGAGCAAACAGGAUUAGAAACCCUAGUAGUCC
RNAcentral lists this ribosomal RNA (425 nucleotides) under uncultured bacterium. RNAcentral's name for it is "partial 16S ribosomal RNA". It matches the Rfam family "Bacterial small subunit ribosomal RNA", at positions 354 to 796 of the family's 1533-position model. The record is from RNAcentral.